Molecule: ribosomal RNA, 497 nt
Filed under: uncultured bacterium
Lineage: Bacteria
Description: partial 16S ribosomal RNA
Rfam family: Bacterial small subunit ribosomal RNA
Source: RNAcentral
GAUGAACGCUGGCGGCGUGCCUAAUACAUGCAAGUCGAGCGAACAGACGAGGAGCUUGCUCCUCUGACGUUAGCGGCGGACGGGUGAGUAAAACGUGGAUAACAUACCUCUCAGACUGGGAUAAUAUCGGGGAACCGGAUCUAAUACCGGAUAAUAUAUUGAACCGGAUGGUUCAAUAGUUAAAGUAGGUUUUGGUGACAGUUAAAGAUGGAUAAGCGCCGCAUUAGCUAGUUGGUAAGGUAAAGGCUUACCAAGGCGACGAUGCGUAGCCGACCUGAGAGGGUGAACGGCCACACUGGAACUGAGACACGGUCCAGACUCCUACGGGAGGCAGCAGUAGGGAAUCUUCCGCAAUGGGCGAAAGCCUGACGUAGCAACACCGCGUGAGUGAUGAAGGUCUUCGGAUCGUAAAGCUCUGUUAUUAGGGAAGAACAAAUGUGUAAUUACCUAGGCACGUCUUGACGGUACCUAAACAGAAAGCUACGGCUAACUACGUG